UUUUAAUGCGAUUUUUGGCAAAGCUGACGAAUAAUAUGACGAUAAAACGCGAGUCCCGGAGUGAUUUGUAAUCCAUAAAUUAUCUAGUGAUAGAGAGGCGUCUAAUACAGACCUAAAGGAUGGCGUCAUUGGAUUGGAGGUGUUUUUAUGACAGGAGACGUUUCUUGGACAUUUACUACACGAAUAGCAUAAUUAUUCAGUCACCAUGAAAAACAUUAAAUUCUGGAAAUUUCGAUUCUUGUCUCCAAAGAGAAAGUAAUUUACAUUCUACUCAAAAACGCUGCUAAAAACACCAAUAUCCAUUCAAAACAACCAGUAAUUAAUUAAACCAUGGUUAAAGAUAAAA
Xenia sp. Carnegie-2017 is the source of this 346-nucleotide long non-coding RNA. RefSeq lists it as uncharacterized. The record is from RefSeq and is a predicted model, not a curated record. The transcript is spliced from 2 exons. NCBI's taxonomy places the organism in Eukaryota, Metazoa, Cnidaria, Anthozoa, Malacalcyonacea, Xeniidae.